GACGAACGCUGGCGGCGUGCUUAACACAUGCAAGUCGAACGGAAAGGCCCUGCUUUUGUGGGGUGCUCGAGUGGCGAACGGGUGAGUAACACGUGAGUAACCUGCCCUUGACUUUGGGAUAACUUCAGGAAACUGGGGCUAAUACCGGAUAGGAGCUCCUGCUGCAUGGUGGGGGUUGGAAAGUUUCGGCGGUUGGGGAUGGACUCGCGGCUUAUCAGCUUGUUGGUGGGGUAGUGGCUUACCAAGGCUUUGACGGGUAGCCGGCCUGAGAGGGUGACAGGCCACAUUGGGACUGAGAUACGGCCCAGACUCCUACGGGGGGCAGCAGUGGGGAAUAUUGCACAAUGGGCGGAAGCCUGAUGCAGCAACGCCGCGUGCGGGAUGACGGCCUUCGGGUUGUAAACCGCUUUCGCCUGUGACGAAGCGUGAGUGACGGUAAUGGGUAAAGAAGCACCGGCUAACUACGUG
This 468-nucleotide ribosomal RNA is filed under the name uncultured bacterium. Its description in RNAcentral is "partial 16S ribosomal RNA". It matches the Rfam family "Bacterial small subunit ribosomal RNA", at positions 28 to 507 of the family's 1533-position model. The record is from RNAcentral.